This 346-nucleotide ribosomal RNA is filed under the name uncultured Fusarium. RNAcentral describes it as "SSU rRNA". It matches the Rfam family "Eukaryotic small subunit ribosomal RNA", at positions 21 to 370 of the family's 1831-position model. The record is from RNAcentral. Lineage: Eukaryota; Fungi; Ascomycota; Sordariomycetes; Hypocreales; Nectriaceae.
UUAGUCAUAUGCUUGUCUCAAAGAUUAAGCCAUGCAUGUCUAAGUAUAAGCAAUUAUACAGCGAAACUGCGAAUGGCUCAUUAUAUAAGUUAUCGUUUAUUUGAUAGUACCUUACUACUUGGAUAACCGUGGUAAUUCUAGAGCUAAUACAUGCUAAAAAUCCCGACUUCGGAAGGGAUGUAUUUAUUAGAUUAAAAACCAAUGCCCUUCGGGGCUCCUUGGUGAUUCAUGAUAACUCCUCGAAUCGCAUGGCCUUGUGCCGGCGAUGGUUCAUUCAAAUUUCUUCCCUAUCAACUUUCGAUGUUUGGGUAUUGGCCAAACAUGGUUGCAACGGGUAACGGGGAAU